UGCCAUUUCAAAGCUCCUCUAAACAUAUCUUGCCCCAAACAAGAUGAACAAAACUUGCCUCAACUGAGAGCAUUGGGCGCCAUCGACAAACCCAGUUUAGCUAGUUCGUGAGCUACUUUAAUACAAUGAAAUUACUUGAGACUUGAGAGAAAGUAUUUGGGGCUCCUAGAUAAAGAGCAUCAGUAGGAGCAAAGUCAGACCAUUGGUCUGCAAUGCCUUCUUCAGAUUUAAUUCAGUGCAUCGGUCUUCAAGAUCUUCCUGUUCCUGCACCAGCUGCAAAAAAAAGUUUCUUAAGAUGAACUGAUGGACCUAUCUAAGAUCGAGCCAAGCCUAUGCAUACAAAAGUAGAAAGGAAAAAAAAUCUCGGUUUUCUGUCCUGAUUCACAUCAAUCGACAGUGACUUUCAAGGCUGAACCAUUAACUGCACAUAGUCAAACAGCAGAAAGUAAUACUACGAAACAACAUCUUGAAUUUGUUUGAAGGAGGACAACGACCAUAUAGCAGGAAUGGUUCAUUGAUAUGCUUCCAGUAUAUGCCUAGUGCCUGCAGAUAAACAAAUGUGUCUGCCGAAUCAUGCCUUGUCCAGCGAAAAUGAACGGGGAGGAACUUUUUCGCUAAGUCCAAAUCAUCCUUCAAAUCAAAAUCUUCUGGUACAGCGCGAGACUACCUGCUUGCAUCCCCAAUAGUCAACCAAAUCACGAUUUCUCUUACAGAGUAAUAGGUGGAAUCAUUGACUUUUUCACCUGCAGGCUCAUACUUUUCUCUGAAUAACAGCUACAAAUUCUACUCUUAACUUUAACGACUCUACUGAUACAUGCAUCAGUAUUAGUAUCGCAGAAGAACCAUAAACAGCAACACAAUCUCAUGACUCCAUUAUCCUCCAUGGAUGCAGCUGCAGCUUUUUGCCUCCUGCUUAUUGUAGCCACUACAGCUUCCUGCUCCGUGUAUGCACAACAAACCAAUGUUGGCUGCACCACAAAAGAGAGGGAUGCACUGCUCUCGUUUAGAGCUGGCAUCACAAGUGAUCCACAGAAUCCCCUUGCCUCGUGGAGUGGCAAGGACUGCUGCCAGUGGAGAGGUGUCGAGUGCAGCAACAACACGUGCCAUGUCAUCAAGGUUGACCUCUGCAACAAAUUCUUCCUAGAUGACCUCUUUGCUCCAUUCUACUCUCCUAGUUUUCGCGGGAUGAACGGGAAGAUAAGUCACGGCUUGCUUACUCUGCGUCAUCUGAAGUACCUUGAUCUCAGUGGGAACCAUCUCGGGGGAGUAGGUAUACCCAUACCGAGUUUCCUGGGCUCCUUCCGGAGACUGAUAUAUCUCAACCUCUCUUGCAUGGAUUUUGAUGGUAUGGUGCCUCCUCAACUAGGAAAUCUUUCGAAACUGCAAUAUCUUGACCUUGAUAACACUUACUAUGAUUAUAGUGGUUAUGAUAAUGUUUUACAAAGUGAGGAUUUGUCAUGGUUACCACGUCUCCCUUUUCUAAGGUUUCUUGACAUGAGUGGUGUCAAUCUUAGUACCAUUGGCCAUUGGGUUCAAGUGGUUAGCAUGCUUUCUAAUUUAAGGGCUCUCCAUCUUCGUCGGUGCAAACUUGUUUUUACAUACACACCUCUUGUGCAUCGGAACCUCACAUCACUUAAGAUGGUUGAUCUAACAAGUAACAUGAUUGCCAACUUGAAUCCCGCCUACUGGUUUUGGGAUGCUGACACCAUCAGGCACCUUGACCUAUCAUACAAUUGGGUUGUGGGUCCACUUCCAGACGCAGUAGGGAAUAUGACUUCCCUUGAAGUACUUCAUCUUGGAGGCAAUCAACUUAGUGAUAUGAAGGCAAAAACACUGAAAAAUCUAUGCAAUAUGAGAGAGUUCAUUGAGUUCAAAUAGAAUCAACCAAGAUAUUUCAGAAUUUUUGCGGGGGUUGCCUUCAUGUGCAUGGACUAAGUUGGAGUUGUUAGAUCUAACAUCAACAAAUAUCAGCGGGGGAAUUCCGAACUGGAUAAACCAAUGGACUAAUCUGAGCAUUAUUCAACUCUCCGCUAAUAGGCUUGUUGGAUCAGUACCUCUUGAAAUUGGUAUGCUCAGCAAGCUCAGUCAUCUGCAUCUAGAUUACAACCAGUUCAACGGCUCUAUUCUAGAGGAACAUCUAGCCGGUCUAGUGAAUUUGAAGGAAUUGGACUUGUCUUACAACUCACUGCACAUGACGAUCAGGCCAAAUUGAACUAGUCCGUUUAAAUUGAAACUAGCUUAUUUCCCAGGUUGUAAAAUGGGGCAUCAAUUUCCUUUGUGGAUUCAAGGGCAGAGGGAUGUUAGUUUUCUUGACAUUUCUGAUGCGGGCAUAGUUGAUUAUCUCCCAGAAUGGUAUUGGAGUGUUUUUUCAAAUGUUGAAUACCUUAACAUCUCUUGCAACCAAAUUAGUGGAAGGUUACCAAGGUCACUAGAUUUAUGUCGUCAGCUGAGAUAUUUGACCCCAAUUCAAACAACCUCACAGGUACCCUACCACAGUUACAUAAGCAUUUGGUAGAACUUGACAUCUCCAAAAACUCUUUAUCAGGGCCAUUACCACGAAAAAUUAUCGCCCAAAACCUUACAGACUUAUUGCUUUCUGACAACUGUAUCAGUGGUGCUAUUCCAAGUUACAUUUGUCAAUUGCCAUUCUUGUCAGUUUUGGAUCUUGCAAAGAAUCAUCUCGAAUGACAGCUUCCCUUGUGUUCGAAACAAUCAUUCAUUUCAGCUCUGAUCUUGUACGAUAACCUGCUGUCAGGCAAAUUUCCUUCAGUUUUGCAGAGCUGCCCUGAUUUGAUCCUACUUGAUCUUGCGGACAACAAAUAUAUUGGAGAGUUACCAACAUGGAUAGCAAUUACCAAAACUGUCUUAUCUCCAGUUGCGGAAUAUUGGGGCCGCUUGGUUCCCCACCACGCUUCGCCACCGCCUAACGUACGGCACGCCACCAGAUAUUGGCUGCUGCUUGGUUCAGACCAUAACUGCGGCAGCCACCAGUCUCUGCAGCACAAAACCACGCCGCAGUGUGGCGCCGAUUUUUGGCGCCGGGCGUGGCAGGCUGUGGCUGCAAGCCAAACAGCCCCAUUAAUAUGUUCUCAGGAUCUAUUCCAGUUAAGCUCAUGGAGCUUGGGUACCUACAAUUCUUGGACCUUGCAUAUAACAGAAUAUCAGGCUCCAUACCUCAUUCGUUGGCCAACUUGAAAGCAAUGACCCAGGAUCAGGGUCACCGACAAACAUUUAAAAACCCUUUAUACUGGGGAUAUGGAAGGCCAGCUCCCCUGAAACAAUUCAUUUCCCAAAUAUGAUGACAGCCUGGAAGUGUUAUUGAAAGGCCAAUAUCUUAAUUACACUGGAAGCAUCAUAUACAUGGUUGCCCUUGAUCUCUCCACAACAAUUUAGUAGGGAAGAUCCCAGAUGAAAUAACAUAUCUUGUUGGGCUGAUGGGCUUGAACAUUUCCCAUAAUCAGUUGUCUGGUGAGAUUCCAGUGAAGCUUGGCCAACUACAAUCAAUGGAAUCUCUUGAUCUGUCAUGGAAUGAACUCUCUGGCGAAAUUCCUUCCAGUCUCUCAGGCAUGACAAUGUUAAGCAAGCUGAACCUGUCGUACAAUAAUCUCUCAGGAAGAAUACCCUCAGGGAAUCAGCUGCAAACACUAACCGAUCCAGCCUCUUCGUACAUUGGCAACAACUAUCUAUGCGGGCCUCCUGUUUCCAGGAACUGCUCAGCGCCCGAGGUGGCUGGACGUCAUCAUGAUGGGCAUCAAUCAGAUUCAGAUGUGAGGUAUUUCUAUGUUGGGAUGGCUGUAGGAUUUGUUUUGGGACUUUGGGUGGUCUUUGUUGCAUUCUUGUUUGCUAGGACGUGGAGAGCUGCUUAUUUUCAGAUGUUUGACAACCUACUGUGCGGACUAGAAAUUUCUGUGGCCGCAAGUUUUAGAAGGUGCCUAGGAAAACUGUAUUGAAAAUAAGGAUAAGAAUUACUACCUAUGUCUAAUUGCAUCAAUUUUGUAUGUACAUGAUGAAAAUUGGCAAUGAAGUUAAUUUUUAGUUCCACACUAUAUACUGCUUUAUAAAACAAAUGUAAGAUCUUCAAAAUUGCUGUCUUACUGUAGAGCAUGAAGGUAAGCAUUCCAUCAAGCAUGUGGUGGGCGUGCGGGGAGCGGUGAAGAAGACAUGAUUGAAUCAAGGAAGGAAAACAAAAUUGAACAAUCUAUCCCGUAUAAAGUUUGCACCUUGUCUGUUUGCUUACGCUGUUGCGGCAUCACCAGCUCAUCGCCACACCCUCCUGCUGCCUGGAUCACCCCGUCGGCGCUGUGUGUCUUGCCGCUUGCCCUACUCCGCAUCUUGCCGCCGGGAGUGAUGUUCAGCCGCAGGGAGCCGCAUGUUUGGAAUUUGGGCACCGGAUUGGGCCUCACGUAUACUGAGCUCGGUUGGGAGCAAUAUUUGACAAACGAGUGGUUCAGCCCAAGAC
This 4459-nucleotide long non-coding RNA is filed under the name Setaria italica (foxtail millet). RNAcentral describes it as "long non-coding RNA (SITA_LNC003818)". Lineage: Eukaryota; Viridiplantae; Streptophyta; Magnoliopsida; Poales; Poaceae. The record is from RNAcentral.